RNAcentral lists this ribosomal RNA (253 nucleotides) under uncultured bacterium. Its description in RNAcentral is "partial 16S ribosomal RNA". It matches the Rfam family "Bacterial small subunit ribosomal RNA", at positions 524 to 776 of the family's 1533-position model. The record is from RNAcentral.
UACGAAGGGUGCUAGCGUUGUUCGGAAUCACUGGGCGUAAAGCGCGCGUAGGCGGCUUGUCAAGUCAGGGGUGAAAUCCCACAGCUCAACUGUGGAACUGCCUUUGAAACUAGCAAGCUUGAGUGUCGGAGGGGAUAGCGGAAUUGCUAAUGUAGAGGUGAAAUUCGUAGAUAUUAGCAGGAACACCGGUGGCGAAGGCGGCUAUCUGGACGACAACUGACGCUGAGGCGCGAAAGCACGGGGAUCAAACAGG